AUUUUCUUGUCGGAGUGCCCAUUUGGGCUGAGACCGUUAAUUCGGGAUCCGCGGAACCUGAUCAGGUUAGUACCUGCGAAGGGAACAAGAGUAAAUAUCAC
Molecule: non-coding RNA, 101 nt
Organism: Pantoea sp. At-9b
Lineage: Bacteria; Pseudomonadati; Pseudomonadota; Gammaproteobacteria; Enterobacterales; Erwiniaceae
Source: Rfam